RNAcentral lists this unclassified non-coding RNA (336 nucleotides) under soil metagenome. RNAcentral's name for it is "partial contains 5.8S ribosomal RNA, internal transcribed spacer 2, and large subunit ribosomal RNA". The stretch from base 1 to 120 matches the Rfam family "5.8S ribosomal RNA", at positions 35 to 154 of the family's 154-position model. The record is from RNAcentral.
GAUGAAGAACGCAGCGAAAUGCGAUAAGUAGUGUGAAUUGCAGAAUUCAGUGAAUCAUCGAAUCUUUGAACGCACAUUGCGCCCCUUGGUAUUCCAUGGGGCAUGCCUGUUCGAGCGUCAUUUGUACCUUCAAGCUUUGCUUGGUGUUGGGUGUUUGUCUCGCCUCUGCGUGUAGACUCGCCUUAAAACAAUUGGCAGCCGGCGUAUUGAUUUCGGAGCGCAGUACAUCUCGCGCUUUGCACUCAUACGACGACGUCCAAAAGUACAUUUUUACACUCUUGACCUCGGAUCAGGUAGGGAUACCCGCUGAACUUAAGCAUAUCAAUAAGCGGAGGA